RNAcentral lists this ribosomal RNA (457 nucleotides) under uncultured bacterium. RNAcentral describes it as "bacterial SSU rRNA". It matches the Rfam family "Bacterial small subunit ribosomal RNA", at positions 328 to 793 of the family's 1533-position model. The record is from RNAcentral.
CCUCCAGACUCCUACGGGAGGCAGCAGUGGGGAAUCUUGCGCAAUGGGCGGAAGCCUGACGCAGCGACGCCGCGUGCGGGACGAAGGCCUUCGGGUCGUAAACCGCUUUCAGCAGGGACGAGGCCCUCACGGUGACGGUACCUGCAGAAGAAGCCCCGGCUAACUACGUGCCAGCAGCCGCGGUAAUACGGAGGAUGCGAGCGUUAUCCGGAUUUAUUGGGUUUAAAGGGUGCGUAGGCGGGCUGUUAAGUCAGCGGUCAAAUGCCGGGGCUCAACCCCGGCCUGCCGUUGAAACUGGCGGCCUCGAGUGGGCGAGAAGUAUGCGGAAUGCGUGGUGUAGCGGUGAAAUGCAUAGAUAUCACGCAGAACUCCGAUUGCGAAGGCAGCAUACCGGCGCCCUACUGACGCUGAGGCACGAAAGCGUGGGGAUCGAACAGGAUUAGAUACCCGUGUAUAG